GAUGAACGCUGGCGGCGUGCCUAAUACAUGCAAGUCGAGCGAACAGACGAGGAGCUUGCUCCUCUGACGUUAGCGGCGGACGGGUGAGUAACACGUGGAUAACCUACCUAUAAGACUGGGAUAACUUCGGGAAACCGGAGCUAAUACCGGAUAAUAUAUUGAACCGCAUGGUUCAAUAGUGAAAGACGGCUUUGCUGUCACUUAUAGAUGGAUCCGCGCCGGAUUAGCUAGUUGGUAAGGUAACGGCUUACCAAGGCGACGAUGCGUAGCCGACCUGAGAGGGUGAUCGGCCACACUGGAACUGAGACACGGUCCAGACUCCUACGGGAGGCAGCAGUAGGGAAUCUUCCGCAAUGGGCGAAAGCCUGACGGAGCAACGCCGCGUGAGUGAUGAAGGUCUUCGGAUCGUAAAACUCUGUUAUUAGGGAAGAACAAAUGUGUAAGUAACUAUGCACGUCUUGACGGUACCUAAUCAGAAAGCCACGGCUAACUACGUG
This 497-nucleotide ribosomal RNA is filed under the name uncultured bacterium. RNAcentral's name for it is "partial 16S ribosomal RNA". It matches the Rfam family "Bacterial small subunit ribosomal RNA", at positions 28 to 507 of the family's 1533-position model. The record is from RNAcentral.